RNAcentral lists this ribosomal RNA (767 nucleotides) under Escherichia coli. RNAcentral's name for it is "partial 23S ribosomal RNA". It matches the Rfam family "Bacterial large subunit ribosomal RNA", at positions 593 to 1360 of the family's 2925-position model. The record is from RNAcentral. Lineage: Bacteria; Pseudomonadati; Pseudomonadota; Gammaproteobacteria; Enterobacterales; Enterobacteriaceae.
GUGACUGCGUACCUUUUGUAUAAUGGGUCAGCGACUUAUAUUCUGUAGCAAGGUUAACCGAAUAGGGGAGCCGAAGGGAAACCGAGUCUUAACUGGGCGUUAAGUUGCAGGGUAUAGACCCGAAACCCGGUGAUCUAGCCAUGGGCAGGUUGAAGGUUGGGUAACACUAACUGGAGGACCGAACCGACUAAUGUUGAAAAAUUAGCGGAUGACUUGUGGCUGGGGGUGAAAGGCCAAUCAAACCGGGAGAUAGCUGGUUCUCCCCGAAAGCUAUUUAGGUAGCGCCUCGUGAAUUCAUCUCCGGGGGUAGAGCACUGUUUCGGCAAGGGGGUCAUCCCGACUUACCAACCCGAUGCAAACUGCGAAUACCGGAGAAUGUUAUCACGGGAGACACACGGCGGGUGCUAACGUCCGUCGUGAAGAGGGAAACAACCCAGACCGCCAGCUAAGGUCCCAAAGUCAUGGUUAAGUGGGAAACGAUGUGGGAAGGCCCAGACAGCCAGGAUGUUGGCUUAGAAGCAGCCAUCAUUUAAAGAAAGCGUAAUAGCUCACUGGUCGAGUCGGCCUGCGCGGAAGAUGUAACGGGGCUAAACCAUGCACCGAAGCUGCGGCAGCGACACUAUGUGUUGUUGGGUAGGGGAGCGUUCUGUAAGCCUGUGAAGGUGUACUGUGAGGUAUGCUGGAGGUAUCAGAAGUGCGAAUGCUGACAUAAGUAACGAUAAAGCGGGUGAAAAGCCCGCUCGCCGGAAGACCAAGGGUUCCUGUCC